RNAcentral lists this ribosomal RNA (398 nucleotides) under uncultured bacterium. Its description in RNAcentral is "bacterial SSU rRNA". It matches the Rfam family "Bacterial small subunit ribosomal RNA", at positions 361 to 773 of the family's 1533-position model. The record is from RNAcentral.
AUAUUGCACAAUGGGGGAAACCCUGAUGCAGCAACGCCGCGUGAAGGAAGAAGUAUUUCGGUAUGUAAACUUCUAUCAGCAGGGAAGAAUAAAAUGACGGUACCUGACUAAGAAGAACCGGCUAAAUACGUGCCAGCAGCCGCGGUAAUACGUAUGGUUCAAGCGUUAUCCGGAUUUACUGGGUGUAAAGGGAGCGUAGACGGAGCAGCAAGUCUGGAGUGAAAACCCGGGGCUCAACCCCGGGACUGCUUUGGAAACUGUUGUUCUAGAGUGCUGGAGAGGUAAGUGGAAUUCCUAGUGUAGCGGUGAAAUGCGUAGAUAUUAGGAGGAACACCAGUGGCGAAGGCGGCUUACUGGACAGUAACUGACGUUGAGGCUCGAAAGCGUGGGGAGCAAAC